UACGACCAUAUUAAGUUGAAACAUCAAUUUCCGUACGAUCACCGAAGUUAAGCAAAGUUGAGCUUGGUCUGUACCUAGAUGGGUAGCCGCUUAGGAAUAUCAGGUGCUGUAA
Non-coding RNA from Acanthosepion pharaonis, 112 nucleotides. The record is from the annotation of a GenBank genome assembly. Lineage: Eukaryota; Metazoa; Mollusca; Cephalopoda; Sepiida; Sepiidae.